UUCGCAUUAUUUAUUUUUAUAUAUUUGGUUUUCCUUGAUUUAGUAAUGUUUUAUUGUGCCGGCUAAGUUUGUGCCAGCAGCCGCGGUUAUACAUUAGGUGCUAUUGAAUAUUUUCGGUUAUGCAGUUUUAUUUUGUUUUUGUGGGUUUGAAUUAGGAUUAGCUGUUAAUAUUUGGGUGGAAUCUUUAUUUCCAAUUAUUACUUUUCUUUUUUUUGUAGGCUGUGAAAUCUUUCUUGUAAACUAGGAUUAGAUACCCUAUUAUUUUUGAUGUUAAUUAUGUUUGUUCCUGGGUAGUAUUAGUUAUGUUCUUGAAACCUAAAGAAUUUGGCGGUACUCCACUCCUUUCAGAGGAAUCUGCUCCGUGAUCGAUGAUCCGCGUUGGACCUUACUUAAUUUUUUUGUUUGUAUACCGCCGUUGUAAUGAAGAUCUUUUUAGUGUUUGAAUUUUCUGGUUUCAUUAUUUUGGUUUAUUUCAGGUCAAGGUGCAGCUUAUUUUUAAGUGUGAAGUGGAUUACAUUGUGUUUAUUUAUUGUUGGAUUGUCGGUUGAAUAUGGCUGAUGUGAAAUUGGAUUUGAUUGUAAUUUGUUGAAGAUUGUUAUUAUGAUAUUGGUUCUGGAUUAUGUACACAUCGCCCGUCGCUCUCAUUUUUGUUGAGAUAAGUCGUAACAUAGUGGUCGUACCGGAAGGUGUGACUGGAUUGAU
Molecule: non-coding RNA, 702 nt
Filed under: Neotermes castaneus (southern dampwood termite)
Lineage: Eukaryota; Metazoa; Arthropoda; Insecta; Blattodea; Kalotermitidae
Source: RNAcentral